AUUAUUCUACUCCUCUCCUGCAGUCAAAUUUUAAUCAAUAAAAUUUCUCCCAAUCCUACUACCAUUCAGUUUUCUCCAGUAUCUUAUCUCCUUAAAAAUCUCCAACCAAUUACUCUAUUUUAACUCAAUUUAUACAUCUCCUCCCAUAAUCUCAACAAACCGCCGUUCCUGCAGUUCUUCAUUGAAGAGUGUGGAGGAGAAAGCCAGAGAGUUGUGAUCUUUUUUUCAAUACCUUCUCUUCUGCAAGUUCUGCUUCUUCCGCGAAGGGUGAACUUGUGCACGUUGUUGCGGUUUGGAACAAGAAAGUGUUGAGGAGUUAAGCUUUUGAGUCAAAUUUUAAUCAAUAAAAUUUCUCCCAAUCCUACUACCAUUCGGUUUUCUCCAGCAUCUUAUCUCCUUAAAAAUCUCCAACCAAUUACUCUAUUUUAACUCCAUUUAUACAUCUCCUCCCACAAUCUCAACAAACCGCCGUUCCUGCAGUUCUUCAUUGAAGAGUGUGGAGGAGAAAGCCAGAGAGUUGUGAUCUUUUUUUUUCAAUACCUUCUCUUCUGCAAGUUCUGCUUCUUCCGUGAAGGGUGAACUUGUGCACGUUGUUGCGGUUUGGAACAAGAAAGUGUUGAGGAGUUAAGCUUUUGAGAUUGAGCGGCGAUGGAUGUGGAGGAUGUUGAGCAGAGUUCAUGGAUUGUUUUGUCAUGAUUAAUAAAUGUUGGAUUUGUCGUGUCUUCAUACUCGGCAUUUUCCGUGUCUUGAACGCUUCCACUAAGAGUCCUUUUCAUUAGAAUUGUUUAUUUGUGGAGAGUCUAACUCGUUUAAAAAUUGUUUAUUUUCUAUUCUUUAUUUACUUAGAGUUGGUAUUAUUGUUAGGAUAAUAUUAUGACGUUUUCAAAGUUAAUUCA
Molecule: long non-coding RNA, 896 nt
Organism: Salvia splendens (bonfire salvia)
Lineage: Eukaryota; Viridiplantae; Streptophyta; Magnoliopsida; Lamiales; Lamiaceae
Exons: 7
Source: RefSeq, a predicted model, not a curated record